Molecule: non-coding RNA, 21 nt
Filed under: Caenorhabditis elegans
Lineage: Eukaryota; Metazoa; Nematoda; Chromadorea; Rhabditida; Rhabditidae
Source: RNAcentral
UAUCAUAUUGGGUUUAGAAUU